This 855-nucleotide ribosomal RNA is filed under the name uncultured bacterium. RNAcentral's name for it is "bacterial SSU rRNA". It matches the Rfam family "Bacterial small subunit ribosomal RNA", at positions 21 to 896 of the family's 1533-position model. The record is from RNAcentral.
UGCUCACGAUGAACGCUGGCGGCGUGCUUAACACAUGCAAGUCGAACGGGGUUGGGAAACCAGCCCAGUGGCGAACGGGUGAGUAACACGUCGGUGACCUAUCCCGGAGCGGGGGACAACAGCUGGAAACGGCUGCUAAUACCCCGUAGGUUGGGUAUGAAGGUAUCCAAUGAAAGGCGCAAGCCGCUCGGGGCGGGGCCGGCGGCCUAUCAGGUAGUUGGUGAGGUAACGGCUCACCAAGCCGACGACGGGUAGGGGGCGUGAGAGCGUGACCCCCCACACGGGCACUGAGACACGGGCCCGACUCCUACGGGAGGCAGCAGUGAGGAAUAUUGGGCAAUGGGGCGCAAGCCUGACCCCAGCGACGCCCGCGUGGGCGAAGAAAGGCCUUUGGGGUCGUAAAGCCCUUUUUUGCCGGACGAGCGAGGGACGGUACGGCAGGAAUCAGUCACGGCUAACUACGUGCCAGCAGCCGCGGUAAAACGUAGGUGGCAAGCGUUAUCCGGAAUCACUGGGCGUAAAGGGCAUCUAGGCGGUCUAUCAAGUUGCGUGUGAAAGCCUCCGGCUCAACCGGGGGAGGACAUGCAAAACUGAUAGGCUGGAGGGUCGGAGAGGGACGCGGAAUUCCCGGUGUAGUGGUGAAAUGCGUAGAGAUCGGGAGGAACACCAGUGGCGAAGGCGGCGUCCUGGCCGACACCUGACGCUGAAGUGCGAAAGCGUGGGGAGCAAACGGGAUUAGAUACCCCGGUAGUCCACGCUGUAAACGAUGGUGACUAGGUGUGGGGGGCAUAACACCCCUCCGUGCCGCAGCUAACGCGAUAAGUCACCCGCCUGGGGACUACGGCCGCAAGGCUA